UCAAAAUCACAGUGAUCCUCCUGCCUCAGCCUCCCGAGUGCUGGGAUUACAAGUGUGCACCACCAUUCCUGGCAGUCCUGACCAAAGCAGCAAGAUACCUCGUAGCGCAUCAGAAUGCUGUCUUCAGGUGCAACAUGGUACUCAGAAGUGGGAAGCACGUGAAAGGAAUGGAGAUGCAGAUUCAGAGACAGCAGGGCAUCCCACCUUUCUCCACCACCGCCAAUAUCCAGAGGCAGCACCUGGUGAGUCAGGACGUGCCUGAAGGAAGGGCCUCUUCCCAUAAACCUGCAGUAUCUCAAGCUCCUGGAGACUUCUUCUGGAAGAAGAUGAGAAGAGAUGAGAAAAAUUCCAAGAACUGCGGAGCAGAACCCUUGUCUGACUGUAAUCCUGGGAAAAUUGCUUACCCAAUAUGAACUUUCACAUCAACAUCUGGAGAUACAGGACCAGUAACAGGAGAGAGUACCUCAAAGCAUCUUGAAGAUUAGAUACAAUGUGUAAAAGUACUAAUAAAACUAGAAAGCCCUAUAAAAUGUUGAUUAUUGCUAUUAAUACUGGAAAAGGCUUUAACUCCAGAUAACUGACAUGAUCUUUCCCAACUAAACUAAGACUGUGCUCCUGCAGAGGUUUGGUUCUUGUUGGAUAACUGGGGCAAAAGGUCACUUUACAAUAUAAAUAGUAAUAACAAUUGUGAAAUCUUCAUUAAAAUCAGAUCCUCUGCAGUUUUAGUAUUUUAAAAGGUGCUAGAGAUUUUAUUUUUUUUCUUCUGUCUUACCAAUUAAACCCAAGACCUUCACACUGAGAUAUCUCCCCAGAUCUCUUUUAUUUUUAAUUUUGAUACAGCAUCUCAGAGAUCACUAAGUUGCCCCAGUUUGAACUUGAUACCUCUGUCUCAGCCAUCCAGAGUGCUGGGAUUAAAAGCCUGCUCUGCCAUGUCCCCACUACUAUGCUAGAUUUUUGAAGACAUCCCUAUGUGUAAAUUUAGCUAAUUUGAGAUAAAAGCAAUUGAUAGCUAGGCAUGGAGGCAUACACCUGCAAUCCCAGCUCUGGCAGGCUGAUGCAGAUUAUCAAAUUGGAGCCCAGCCUGGGCAACUCAUCAAGGCCCUGUCUCAAAAUAAAAAAUAAAAAUAUACAAAGAAAGAAAGAUAGAAAAGAAAAGAAAGGGAAAAAAAACCUGCAAUGUAGCUCAGUGUGAAGGCCUUGGAUUCAAUAUCUAGUAUGGGUGGGGUGGAUUUAAAACAAACUAAAGACCAACUACCACCAGUACUACUUCUCCUAUACCCUCUUGCUGGUCUACUGUUACAUUCUGAGGUCAAGUCAGGUCCUGUUCAUUGCCUUAACAUCCUAUGAUUUCUAUAUUGAAGAGAGAGAAUUGACAUUCCUUAUGGCAAUCCUGCAAUGUAAGCUAUUUUGAGAAAGAAUGAUUUUUUAAAAGUCUCCUAAAAUUAAAAAUAAAAGCGAAAA
This 1461-nucleotide long non-coding RNA is filed under the name Chinchilla lanigera (long-tailed chinchilla). Its description in RNAcentral is "lncRNA (ENSCLAG00000025717.1)". Lineage: Eukaryota; Metazoa; Chordata; Mammalia; Rodentia; Chinchillidae. The record is from RNAcentral.